GUCGAACGAAGUCUUCGGACUGAGUGGCGGACGGGUGAGUAACGCGUGAGAAUCUGCCUAGAGGUCGGGGACAACCAUUGGAAACGAUGGCUAAUACCGGAUAUGCCUUACGGGGUGAAAGAUUAAUUGCCUUUAGAAGAGCUCGCGUCUGAUUAGCUAGUUGGUGAGGUAAGAGCUCACCAAGGCAGCGAUCAGUAGCUGGUCUGAGAGGAUGACCAGCCACACUGGGACUGAGACACGGCCCAGACUCCUACGGGAGGCAGCAGUGGGGAAUUUUCCGCAAUGGGCGAAAGCCUGACGGAGCAAGACCGCGUGAGGGAGGAAGGCUCUUGGGUUGUAAACCUCUUUUGUCAGGGAAGAACAAAAUGACGGUACCUGACGAAUCAGCAUCGGCUAACUCCGUGCCAGCAGCCGCGGCAAUACGGAGGAUGCAAGCGUUAUCCGGAAUUAUUGGGCGUAAAGCGUCCGCAGGUGGCUGAUCAAGUCUGCGGUCAAAGACCGGGGCUUAACCCUGGAAAGGCCGUGGAAACUGAUAGAGCUAGAGUACCGUAGGGGUAGAGGGAAUUCCCGGUGUAGCGGUGAAAUGCGUAGAGAUCGGGAAGAACAUCGGUGGCGAAAGCGCUCUACUGGACGGUGACUGACACUCAGGGACGAAAGCUAGGGGAGCGAAUGGGAUUAGAUACCCCAGUAGUCCUAGCCGUA
This 702-nucleotide ribosomal RNA is filed under the name uncultured cyanobacterium. RNAcentral describes it as "bacterial SSU rRNA". It matches the Rfam family "Bacterial small subunit ribosomal RNA", at positions 61 to 804 of the family's 1533-position model. The record is from RNAcentral. Lineage: Bacteria; Bacillati; Cyanobacteriota.